Molecule: ribosomal RNA, 432 nt
Filed under: uncultured bacterium
Lineage: Bacteria
Description: bacterial SSU rRNA
Rfam family: Bacterial small subunit ribosomal RNA
Source: RNAcentral
GAUGAACGCUGGCGGAAUGCUUUACACAUGCAAGUCGAGCGGCAGCGCGGGGCAACCUGGCGGCGAGCGGCGAACGGGUGAGUAAUACAUCGGAACGUACCCAGUUGUGGGGGAUAGCCCGGCGAAAGCCGGAUUAAUACCGCAUACGACCUGAGGGUGAAAGGGGGGGAUCGCAAGACCUCUCGCAGUUGGAGCGGCCGAUGGCGGAUUAGCUAGUUGGUAGGGUAAAGGCCUACCAAGGCGACGGUCCGUAGCUGGUCUGAGAGGACGACCAGCCACACUGGAACUGAGACACGGUCCAGACUCCUACGGGAGGCAGCAGUGGGGAAUUUUGGACAAUGGGGGCAACCCUGAUCCAGCCAUUCCGCGUGAGUGAAGAAGGCCUUCGGUUGUAAGACUCUUUCGGUCAGGAACGAAACGGUAGGUCCGUAA